This 369-nucleotide unclassified non-coding RNA is filed under the name uncultured Ascomycota. RNAcentral's name for it is "sequence contains ITS2". The stretch from base 1 to 154 matches the Rfam family "5.8S ribosomal RNA". The record is from RNAcentral. Lineage: Eukaryota; Fungi; Ascomycota.
AACUUUUGGCAACGGAUCUCUUGGCUCUAGCAUCGAUGAAGAACGCAGCGAAACGCGAUAGGUAAUGCGAAUUGCAGAAUUCCGUGAGUCAUCGAAUCUUUGAACGCACAUUGCGCCCGCCGGCAUUCUGGCGGGCAUGCCUGUUCGAGCGUCAUUUCAACCCUCGGGCCCGUCCCGGUGUUGGGGUCCUGCUGUAAUCUGCAGGCCCCGAAUGACAGUGGCGGAACCGCCGAACUCUCAGCGUAGUAAUUUUUCUCGUUGGGGACAACAGCGGUCGCUUGCCGUUAAACAACCACUAUUUUUUAAUUGUUUGACCUCGGAUCAGGUAGGAAUACCCGCUGAACUUAAGCAUAUCAAUAAGCGGAGGCU